GUGUGUGUGUGUGUGUGUGUGAGGCUAAUUUUCCAAUCUGUUUUAUCUUGUCUAAAUGGUUUUCAUAGUAUAUAUUGAAAAUAUUCAUCUUAAGUUUUGGAAGAUUUGUACAUAUGCUACUAAAGUAGAGACAUGGUGUACAUUCUGCUUUGAUGUUCACCACAUAAUUUGUUUUGCACUCUAAAGUAUCUCUUUUGUUCCGGUUGUUGAGGUUCAAUUUGUGCAAAUAACAUAUUCAGCAGUUAAACAGUGUUAUUUUUUCAUUCUGUAGUAUUACAUGCUGUCUUAGAAUUAUUGCAAGUGUGGUUAUAUGAGUUUGGUGCCUACUGGCAAGUAAUUCAACUGGGAUACUACCCUUGCUUUAUCCACCCUAAAACUGAAUCAAAUCCAAAACUGAAAGCGAAUAGGACUUUUUGACGCUUAUGCAUCAAUCUCCCUGGGUUAGAGAAAA
Molecule: unclassified non-coding RNA, 451 nt
Filed under: Hevea brasiliensis (rubber tree)
Lineage: Eukaryota; Viridiplantae; Streptophyta; Magnoliopsida; Malpighiales; Euphorbiaceae
Source: RNAcentral